UUAUACGAGACAGCAUUGAUAUCCAGUGGAUUCUCUCCUGAUAGUCCAGCUGAAUUAGGAAACAAGAUAUAUGAGAUGAUGGCAAUGGCACUUGGAGGCAGAUGGGGUAGAUUAGAAGACAACGUCGAAGAUGAUGCUUCUGCUGCUGCUG
This is a non-coding RNA of Cucurbita pepo subsp. pepo (vegetable marrow), 151 nucleotides long. The record is from RefSeq and is a predicted model, not a curated record. Lineage: Eukaryota; Viridiplantae; Streptophyta; Magnoliopsida; Cucurbitales; Cucurbitaceae.